Molecule: long non-coding RNA, 446 nt
Organism: Hemiscyllium ocellatum (epaulette shark)
Lineage: Eukaryota; Metazoa; Chordata; Chondrichthyes; Orectolobiformes; Hemiscylliidae
Exons: 3
Source: RefSeq, a predicted model, not a curated record
GGAACAGGAACUAAUCUAACUGUCUGCAUUUCUCCAGCUCCAAUAAAGAUUUACACAAAGCCACGCAAGGACAAUUCAUCGAAGUCUCUGACUCUUGUGUGUCAGACGAGUGCAUUCCAUCCGGGCGAUUUUACCCUCGUUUGGUAUAAAAAUGGCAUCGCAAUUUCACCGGAGAUAAUUAGAAAACAGAACGCUGAAGGACUAUAUGAAGCUUUCAGUUCUUUGGAAGAGCCGCAGCCUGAGCGGACUGAAGUUGUCUACAUCUGUUUGGUAAUACACAUCUCUCUCCGGACUCCCGCCAUUGCUAUCCACACUGUGACAAAUAUCUACUCAGAACAAUUCUGCCAACCCAGGAACAAGUCCUUUGUUGCACUCACUCCAUUGCAGUAAUAUCCUUCGUACGAUCAGCGGAUCAAAGACACGCACGCACAUCACUCCGGGCGUGA